AACGAACGCUGGCGGCAUGCCUAACACAUGCAAGUCGAACGAGACCUUCGGGUCUAGUGGCGCACGGGUGCGUAACGCGUGGGAACCUGCCCUUAGGUUCGGAAUAACUCCCCGAAAGGGGUGCUAAUACCGGAUAAUGUCUUCGGACCAAAGAUUUAUCGCCUUUGGAUGGGCCCGCGUUGGAUUAGCUAGUUGGUAGGGUAAAAGCCUACCAAGGCGACGAUCCAUAGCUGGUCUGAGAGGAUGAUCAGCCACACUGGGACUGAGACACGGCCCAGACUCCUACGGGAGGCAGCAGUGGGGAAUAUUGGACAAUGGGCGAAAGCCUGAUCCAGCAAUGCCGCGUGAGUGAUGAAGGCCUUAGGGUUGUAAAGCUCUUAUACCCGGGAUGAUAAUGACAGUACCGGGAGAAUAAGCGCCGGCUAACUCCGUG
RNAcentral lists this ribosomal RNA (433 nucleotides) under uncultured bacterium. RNAcentral describes it as "partial 16S ribosomal RNA". It matches the Rfam family "Bacterial small subunit ribosomal RNA", at positions 29 to 507 of the family's 1533-position model. The record is from RNAcentral.